Molecule: ribosomal RNA, 460 nt
Filed under: uncultured bacterium
Lineage: Bacteria
Description: partial 16S ribosomal RNA
Rfam family: Bacterial small subunit ribosomal RNA
Source: RNAcentral
CCUACGGGGGGCAGCAGUGAGGAAUAUUGGUCAAUGGGCGCGAGCCUGAACCAGCCAAGUAGCGUGAAGGAUGACUGCCCUACGGAUUGUAAACUUCUUUUAUAAAGGAGUAAAGUGAGGCACGUGUACCUUUUUGUGUGUACUUGAUGAAUAAGCAUCGGCUAACUCCGUGCCAGCAGCCGCGGUAAUACGGAGGAUCCGAGCGUUAUCCGGAUUUAUUGGGUUUAAAGGGAGCGGAGAUGGGUUGUUAAGUCAGUGGUGAAAGUUUGCGGCUCAACCGUCAAAUUGCAAUUGAUACUGGCAGUCUUGAGUACAGGUGAGGUAGGCGGAAUUCGUGGUGUAGCGGUGAAAUGCUUAGAUAUCACGAAGAACUCCGAUUGCGAAGGCAGCUUACUAGACUGCCACUGACAUUGAGGCUCGAAAGUGUGGGUAUCAAACAGGAUUAGAUACCCGAGUAGUC